Molecule: transfer RNA, 74 nt
Filed under: Variovorax sp. 54
Lineage: Bacteria; Pseudomonadati; Pseudomonadota; Betaproteobacteria; Burkholderiales; Comamonadaceae
Description: tRNA-Met
Rfam family: tRNA
About the family: Transfer RNA (tRNA) molecules are approximately 80 nucleotides in length.
Source: RNAcentral
GGGCCGUUAGCUCAGUUGGUUAGAGCAGCGGACUCAUAAUCCGUUGGUCGAGUGUUCAAGCCACUCACGGCCUA